CGUAGGCGGCUUGGCAAGUGGAUGGUGAAAUCCCUCGGCUUAACCGAGGAACUGCCGUCCAAACUGCUUUGCUUGAGGCCGGGAGAGGCGAGUGGAAUUCCCAGUGUAGCGGUGAAAUGCGUAGAUAUUGGGAGGAACACCAGUGGCGAAGGCGGCUCGCUGGACCGGUUCUGACGCUGAUGCGCGAAAGCGUGGGAGCAAACG
RNAcentral lists this ribosomal RNA (204 nucleotides) under uncultured bacterium. RNAcentral describes it as "partial 16S ribosomal RNA". It matches the Rfam family "Bacterial small subunit ribosomal RNA", at positions 570 to 774 of the family's 1533-position model. The record is from RNAcentral.